AUGUGCUGUCGGUCGUACGAGUUGCAACGAUGUGUUUGUUUGAUCGUGUUUUUUCGUUUGCUGUAAUGAAUUGUGACUUGGUUCGCGUGCACAAAAUUGCCAAAAGAUAGCUUGUGUCUCGCUGCUAACUCGCGGUAUGCGUGGUGUGCCAGGCAAACGUGGACCAACGAUUUUCAUGCCAUGGAUCGCGUUCCCUUUGUCCGUGGUGGUUGUGGAGAGUUCGGUGGACGCCGCAAAGAAAUGAUGCGCAUUAUUAGCGUUCCGCAGGUCGUCCACUACGCAACUGCAUGUAUGCGGGAAUAACUUUGCAGCUCCGGCAACUUGGAGGGCGCUUUUCGACCGCAUCGUACCAUUUAAAAGUGGCAAGGCCGUGACCAACAACAGUGUGCACGUCAGGGAGGAGCUAUGGCUGCAGCAGCGCUGUGUGUAAUCGGAUGGUCUGGUCAGGCAUGACUGAAGUGUACAGAUUGGUGUGGGAUUUGUGAUGCCACUCAACAAGUGGCAUUACAUAUUCAAGUCUGCUUCCAACGGAAAGUGCCCAUUAGAGGUGUCAUGGCACCUGUGGACACCAGUGCAAGCAGGUGAAAGCAACCUGACUGGACAGGCCUGCCGGACAAUGUGCCGCGCAUCUGGGAAGCUUCUGGCAACACCUCUCGGAGAAAGUGGCUGCUUUGAAGAACUGCCUGGAGAAAUAUAGAAGUGACCAUCCAAUGAUGCCACCAGCACCACAUCCGGAGAACCACCUUGCUUCCCUGCGAAAGCACCAUUGGAGCUUUCUUUUACACAAGCAGGACGCCAGGGCAAGCGAGUAGAAAAGUAAAUACAGUACAAGUCCAGUGAUGCUUUUUCAAUAAACUGUGAUGAUAUGCUAUGUAG
This is a long non-coding RNA of Dermacentor albipictus, 876 nucleotides long. RefSeq lists it as uncharacterized. Lineage: Eukaryota; Metazoa; Arthropoda; Arachnida; Ixodida; Ixodidae. The record is from RefSeq and is a predicted model, not a curated record.